Molecule: ribosomal RNA, 253 nt
Filed under: uncultured bacterium
Lineage: Bacteria
Description: partial 16S ribosomal RNA
Rfam family: Bacterial small subunit ribosomal RNA
Source: RNAcentral
UACGUAGGGUGCAAGCGUUAAUCGGAAUUACUGGGCGUAAAGCGUGCGCAGGCGGCUUUGCAAGACAGAUGUGAAAUCCCCGGGCUUAACCUGGGAACUGCAUUUGUGACUGCAUGGCUAGAGUGCGGCAGAGGGGGAUGGAAUUCCGCGUGUAGCAGUGAAAUGCGUAGAUAUGCGGAGGAACACCGUUGGCGAAGGCAAUCCCCUGGGCCUGCACUGACGCUCAUGCACGAAAGCGUGGGGAGCAAACAGG